RNAcentral lists this ribosomal RNA (875 nucleotides) under Bacillus cereus. Its description in RNAcentral is "partial 16S ribosomal RNA". It matches the Rfam family "Bacterial small subunit ribosomal RNA", at positions 61 to 921 of the family's 1533-position model. Lineage: Bacteria; Bacillati; Bacillota; Bacilli; Caryophanales; Bacillaceae. The record is from RNAcentral.
GUCGAGCGAAUGGAUUAAGAGCUUGCUCUUAUGAAGUUAGCGGCGGACGGCUGNGUAACACGUGUNUAACCUGCCCAUAAGACUGGGAUAACUCCGGGAAACCGGGGCUAAUACCGGAUAACAUUUUGAACUGCAUGGUUCGAAAUUGAAAGGCGGCUUCGGCUGUCACUUAUGGAUGGACCCGCGUCGCAUUAGCUAGUUGGUGAGGUAACGGCUCACCAAGGCAACGAUGCGUAGCCGACCUGAGCGGGUGCCCGCCCUAACUGUCCCUGACCCGGGUCCAACUNNNNNACGGGAGGCAGCAGUAGGGAAUCUUCCGCAAUGGACGAAAGUCUGACGGAGCAACGCCGCGUGAGUGAUGAAGGCUUUCGGGUCGUAAAACUCUGUUGUUAGGGAAGAACAAGUGCUAGUUGAAUAAGCUGGCACCUUGACGGUACCUAACCAGAAAGCCACGGCUAACUACGUGCCAGCAGCCGCGGUAAUACGUAGGUGGCAAGCGUUAUCCGGAAUUAUUGGGCGUAAAGCGCGCGCAGGUGGUUUCUUAAGUCUGAUGUGAAAGCCCACGGCUCAACCGUGGAGGGUCAUUGGAAACUGGGAGACUUGAGUGCAGAAGAGGAAAGUGGAAUUCCAUGUGUAGCGGUGAAAUGCGUAGAGAUAUGGAGGAACNNCAGUGGCGAAGGCGACUUUCUGGUCUGUAACUGACACUGAGGCGCGAAAGCGUGGGGAGCAACAGGAUUAGAUACCCUGGUAGUCCACGCCGUAAACGAUGAGUGCUAAGUGUUAGAGGGNUUCNCCCUUUANNGCUGAAGUAACGCAUUAAGCNCUCNCUGGGGAGUANGCCGCAAGNUGAAANNNNNAANGAAUUGACGGGGCCC